Molecule: unclassified non-coding RNA, 391 nt
Filed under: soil metagenome
Description: partial contains 5.8S ribosomal RNA, internal transcribed spacer 2, and large subunit ribosomal RNA
Rfam family: 5.8S ribosomal RNA (bases 1-122)
Source: RNAcentral
GAUGAAGAACGUAGCGAAAUGCGAUACUUGGUGUGAAUUGCAGAAUCCCGUGAACCAUCGAGUCUUUGAACGCAAGUUGCGCCCGAAGCCAUUAGGCCGAGGGCACGCCUGCCUGGGCGUCACACGUCGUUGCCCCCCCAUCUACUCCUUCGGGAUUGCGGGGGGCGGAUGAUGGCCUCCCGUGCGCCUCGCCGCGCGGUUGGCAUAAAUGCCAAGUCCUCGGCGACGCACGCCACGACAAUCGGUGGUUGCGAAACCUCGGUUGCCCGUCGUGUGCGGUCGUCGCGCAUCGAGGGCUCGAAAAAAUUGCCGGGUUCCGGCUCGGCUUUCAACGCGACCCCAGGUCAGGCGGGGUUACCCGCUGAAUUUAAGAAUAUCAAUAAGCGGAGGA